AAUAAUAAUUGUUUACGAUUUGUAUAUAUUAAUUAACAUAUAAUUAUUACACUGAUAAUUAUUAUAAUAGUUAAUAAAUUUAUAGGUUUAAAAAUCAGAGUUUUAAAGUGGAUAAUAUGGUGCCAGCAUUUGCGGUUAGACUAUACACUUAUUAAAUUUUUAUAGGUUAUUAAUUAUUUUUAUAUAAAAUUAUGUUUGGUGAAAAAUUAUUUUGUUUAAUUUUAUGUUAAUUUAUAUUAAUUUUUAAAAGUGAAAAGGAUUAGAUACCCUUUUAGCAAAAUAAUAAUCCUUAGGAUUAUUUUUAUAAAUAAUAAAAUUUGGCGGCUUUAUAAAUUUAGAGGGGCUUGUUUUUAAUCGAUAAUCCGCGCUUAGUUCUACUUAUCUGAUUUUUAUAUAUCGUUAUGAAAAUAUUGUUUUAUUAUUAAUAUUGUUGAAUUUAAACCAAGGUGUAGAAAUUUUUAAGUGUUAAUUAGCCACAAUAUAUAAUUAUAAACCAAUUAUUAAAAGUUUAGGGGAAUUUAAUUUUAAUAUUAUUUAAUAGUAUGACCAGUUAUGGUGUGUUCAGAUCGCCCGUCACUCUCUUUGAGAUAAGUCGAAACAAAGUAAAUUUACCGGAAGGUGGGUUU
RNAcentral lists this ribosomal RNA (626 nucleotides) under Parhyale hawaiensis. RNAcentral describes it as "12S ribosomal RNA". Lineage: Eukaryota; Metazoa; Arthropoda; Malacostraca; Amphipoda; Hyalidae. The record is from RNAcentral.